UUCUAGAAACCCUUGGACCAGUGUGGGUGUCCGUUGCGGUGCUACAUUCUCUAAUCUGUAUCACCGGGUGAACACUUGCAGUGGUCCUCGUGGUUUCU
MicroRNA precursor from Caenorhabditis elegans, 98 nucleotides. The record is from Ensembl. NCBI's taxonomy places the organism in Eukaryota, Metazoa, Nematoda, Chromadorea, Rhabditida, Rhabditidae.